UGAAUAAAUACAGUAUGUUCUGUCCUCUUUACCUGGCUGAAUAUCCUUUUAAUUAGACAUAUUCUGCACUAUGACAUACCAAGCGUGUGUGUUGCAGGUGGCACGGCAAUCACUGCACAGGCCAGCAGUGGUACUGCAUUUGUCUACACUGCAGGUUCUGGAUGGCAUGACAGUCACCCUGGAAGAAAGAACUAGAGCAGAGCUUUUAAAUAAUGAAGCACAGGGUUCUAGUUCAGGUGGUGAAAUGACUUUACCCGGUUUGGUACCAUUGGUGGCCCGACCAGCUCCUUUAAGAGGUACAGGCAUACACACUCUCGUACCUGAUCAGCAAGAAGACACUCAUGAUACCAGCAGAUGUACGUAUACAUACAGUACAGACACACACCAAAUGUGUAUAUUAAACACAAAUGCACAUCAUGUACAAUUUUCAUGUGUGUUUUUAGAUAAGAAGCAGAAGACAGUUGUCUCUCUCUUGCGUGGAGUUCAGAGUUACAUCAACUUCAGGCAGAUAAGAGGAUCUUCCAGCCACUACAUGACAGCGCUGCAGCAGACCGGAUAUAGAGUUCUCUCCACUUUCCCUAACACUGAUCCUGAGACCAGGUACCAGUGUCACAGUGUACCCAGACCUCCUCCUCCUCCUCCUCCUC
Molecule: long non-coding RNA, 647 nt
Filed under: Sinocyclocheilus anshuiensis
Lineage: Eukaryota; Metazoa; Chordata; Actinopteri; Cypriniformes; Cyprinidae
Description: lncRNA (ENSSANG00000031848.1)
Source: RNAcentral